Suricata suricatta (meerkat) is the source of this 618-nucleotide long non-coding RNA. RefSeq lists it as uncharacterized. The record is from RefSeq and is a predicted model, not a curated record. NCBI's taxonomy places the organism in Eukaryota, Metazoa, Chordata, Mammalia, Carnivora, Herpestidae. The transcript is spliced from 3 exons.
CUCAAAAAAUAAGUAAAUAAACUUAAAGGAAAAAGGAAAAAGGUGGGAAGAUUGACAGAAGGUGCUUGACGUUAGACGCCAAGUUUGCAUAGAACUGCUCACCCCCGAGUGCGUCUAAGCCAGAACCGACUUCUGCCAGAGGAGAUUACACGCAUUUGGUUCUGAGCAACCAAAUUCUGGGCACCACUGCCUCCACGGAAGGCCCUGCCUCAGCAGCCCAGAGACCAGGCUCUACUGAGCCAUUGCAGGCUGAUGCCUAGCCAGUGCCCUGGAGUACACAGGGAGAGAAGAAAAGACAGAAGAGGGGAAGAUAUGUGAGAAAGCCGCCAGGAGUUAUUAUGCUCAUUUUAAAGAUGAAGAAACUGAGGCCAAGAGGUGAAAACCACACCAGGAGAUCCCCCAGCAGCCUGUGGCUAGACAGACCAGGACUCCAGCCUGACUGGGCAAAUCAUAUUUUUACACUCCAGCUUCUGCUAAUUUAUGCCACAGCCUGAGCUCUCCCUUGCUGAAGAUCAAGUUUCAGGGAGCGGGGAGACAAUUCCCGGGUUUCUUUAGUCAUCUCGGAGCCUAUCAGAAGCCAAGCAGGGGACAAAUUAACAACAACAGAAAGUAAUCAUA